GCUAAUUCUUUAUUUAUAAUAUAUUAACUGUAAAACGUAAACCAUAUUUUGUACAUGGUAAAAUACAAUUUAAAAUUAUCUUAUUUAAGGAAACUCUGUGUACCUAAUAGUCAUCAUUCUGAAUUUAUCGGGAAAAUAUUUUGUUAUUAACAACGGGUAUGAAUAGCGUACUAAACAAGAGUAAAACUAAUAAGUAUAAUAUAGUUAGGUUAGCCUAUAACUGCUUAUUGACGUUAGCUGGCUUACCUGUUCAUCUAAACCUCAUACUCGGGUUUAUUUCUACUUAUCUUUAAUCCCAUUUCUUCAAGUGCUACUCUCCAACACUCAAGAUUAGUAUUGACUGAUUGUAGAUUUUCUCCUAUUAAAUAUAUGUAUAUCUGAAAAACACCAUGCACCGUGAUAACUCUUUUCACCUGCAAAGCUGUGAUCCGAGCGCACAUCCGAGAUAGGGCAAUCUGCCAAAGUCUUGUUUAGAAUUCCUCAUAUUGUUUAACAGAAUUUUAUAUCGGCUGUCGUCCCGACACAACCCCUUUUUUCAUCUCUUACGACAUGUACCGAAAGAUAUUAUGAUUCCCUGCCAUAGAGAAAAUAUAAAAUAA
Cinara cedri is the source of this 599-nucleotide non-coding RNA. The record is from the annotation of a GenBank genome assembly. NCBI's taxonomy places the organism in Eukaryota, Metazoa, Arthropoda, Insecta, Hemiptera, Aphididae.